This 521-nucleotide ribosomal RNA is filed under the name Hortaea werneckii. RNAcentral's name for it is "LSU rRNA". It matches the Rfam family "Eukaryotic large subunit ribosomal RNA", at positions 86 to 634 of the family's 3401-position model. The record is from RNAcentral. Lineage: Eukaryota; Fungi; Ascomycota; Dothideomycetes; Mycosphaerellales; Teratosphaeriaceae.
ACGGCGAGUGAAGCGGCAACAGCUCAAAUUUGAAAUCUGGCGCAAGCCCGAGUUGUAAUUUGUAGAGGAUGCUUCUGGGCAGCGGCCGGUCUAAGUUCCUUGGAACAGGACGUCAUAGAGGGUGAGAAUCCCGUAUGCGACCGGCUUGCACCCGUCACGUAGCUCCUUCGACGAGUCGAGUUGUUUGGGAAUGCAGCUCUAAAUGGGAGGUAAAUUUCUUCUAAGGCUAAAUACCGGCCAGAGACCGAUAGCGCACAAGUAGAGUGAUCGAAAGAUGAAAAGCACUUUGGAAAGAGAGUUAAAAAGCACGUGAAAUUGUUGAAAGGGAAGCUCACGCAACCAGACUUGUCGGCGGUGUUCCGCCGGUCUUCUGACCGGUCUAUUCGCCGCCGGCAGGCCAGCAUCACUUGGGAGCGCCGGAUAAAGGCGUGCGGAAUGUAGCCCCUCGGGGCAUUAUAGCCGCGCGCACAAUACGGCGCCUCCCGAGUGAGGUCCGCGCUUCGGCUAGGAUGCUGGCGUAA